Molecule: ribosomal RNA, 283 nt
Filed under: uncultured prokaryote
Description: partial 16S ribosomal RNA
Rfam family: Archaeal small subunit ribosomal RNA
Source: RNAcentral
GUGUCAGCAGCCGCGGUAAUACCGGCAGCUCAAGUGAUGACCGAUUUUAUUGGGCCUAAAGCGUCCGUAGCUGGCCGCGCAAGUCUGUCGGGAAAUCCACCCGCUUAACGGGUGGGCGUCCGGCGGAAACUGUGCGGCUUGGGACAGGAAGGCUCGAGGGGUACGUUCGGGGUAGGAGUGAAAUCCCGUAAUCCUGAACGGACCACCGAUGGCGAAAGCACCUCGAGAGGACUGAUCCGACAGUGAGGGACGAAAGCUGGGGUCUCGAACCGGAUUAGAAACC